AGCAGCCGCGGUAAUUCCAGCUCCAAUAGCGUAUAUUAAAGUUGUUGCAGUUAAAAAGCUCGUAGUUGAAUUUCGGGGUCAAUACGUCGGUCGUGCCUUCGGUACGUACUGGUGUUAUUGAUCUCUCCCUUCUGAUGAGUCAUGAUGUCAUUAAUUUGGUGUCGUGGGGAGUCAGGACUGUUACUUUGAAAAAAUUAGAGUGUUUAAAGCAGGCUCACGCUUGAAUACAUUAGCAUGGAAUAAUGAAAUAGGACGUUCGAUCCUAUUUUGUUGGUUUCUAGGAUCAACGUAAUGAUUAAUAGGGAUAGUUGGGGGCAUUAGUAUUCAAUUGUCAGAGGUGAAAUUCUUGGAUUUAUUGAAGACUAACUACUGCGAAAGCAUUUGCCAAGGAUGUUUUCAUUAAUCAAGAACGAAAGUUAGGGGAUCGAAGACGAUCAGAUACCGUCGUAG
This 450-nucleotide ribosomal RNA is filed under the name uncultured Glomeromycotina. Its description in RNAcentral is "SSU rRNA". It matches the Rfam family "Eukaryotic small subunit ribosomal RNA", at positions 569 to 1023 of the family's 1831-position model. Lineage: Eukaryota; Fungi; Glomeromycota. The record is from RNAcentral.